UGAACUUUUAAAAUGAACCAUUUAUUAAAUCAGACUUAUUAUUAACAGUUAUGUAAGUUACAUGUAUGUUUAAGUCAGUAUUUCACAUGGAAAAUUUUUAAACUCCUAUAGGCAAGCAAAAUUUUAUCACACAAUAUAUAAGUAGGAAGGGAGGGGAUACUGCUAAACAUUCAAAUAAGGCAAGUAUUUAAAAAUAAUAAAACAAUAAUUUAAAAAAUUCAAGCAUUCCUUUAAGAGAAUUCAAUACUACAAGCUAAAUGACUUUCUGAGUGUAUCCAUAUAAUCAAUGCAGUGUUUCUCCUAUCAAAAUACCAUAAAAUGGAAUAAGGCUCAUUAAUAGACACAGCUGCCCUCAAGAUUUCAAUCUCAGUUGCUUUCUUUAAAUUAAAAUUCA
This is a long non-coding RNA of Carlito syrichta (Philippine tarsier), 394 nucleotides long. RefSeq lists it as uncharacterized. The record is from RefSeq and is a predicted model, not a curated record. The transcript is spliced from 2 exons. Lineage: Eukaryota; Metazoa; Chordata; Mammalia; Primates; Tarsiidae.